CGCACCCCCGGGGGCUGCAGCGCCCCGGCCGGGAGCAGCCGCUCUGGGACGGCCGCUGGGGCCGAGGUGUUGCUGCUCCUGCUCCGAUUGUGCCUGGUGUGGGACUGGAGCCCUGGGGAAAUACAAGGAAAAAAACCCCCAUAUUAAAAAAACAGUGAAAAUUAUUUGUUCUUUAUUUCCAGAGCCGUGAGGAUCAUCGAGUCAAAUGCUGAGAAGUGACUGGCCCAGCUGCACAUUGAACACAGAAUUUUGGGCUUCUCAGUACACUGCUCCAAAUACCUGAGCCAAUCCCAGGGUUGUUCCAAAGGUCCUGUGAGGGAUGGGAAUGACUGCUGCCAGAACAAGACAAGUCCUGAGGGUCACCUUGCUCUGUGGCAGGGGGCGUUUCCUGCAGUGUGUCCCAGCUGGCUGGGAGUGCAGGGCAGCAGGAGGCCAGAAGCUCCUGAAAGGCAAGCAGCACCUCGUGUCUUUGGGAUCUGCAGGGGAGGAGCUGUGCCUGCACCGUGGCUCCUCAGCCAGGGGCUGCUCUGACCAGGCACAUGGAAAUGCUUCAGCCUGGACAGAGACCACCAACAGCUCAGAAGGACCCCAAGGAGCAGCUGGCAUUACUGGGAAUGGAGGCAAGGGCUGUUUGCAGAGGGGCUCACACAGCAAUUCCUGGUUCAGAGCUCCCACACAGCUGCCAGCUAUGUCCCAGCCACCCCAAAUCCCUUCCCUCCUCCCCAGCCUGAGGCCAUCAUCCAUCAGCAGCAUUAAAGCCAAGGCAGUCUUCCCCCACAGAUAUUAAAUCCCAGGCAGUAGCCCUCAGAGAUACCUGAAAAUCAGUGGGAUGGAGUUUGGAGUUUUCCAGGGAUCCAGCUGGAAGUGCAGAUGUCAUGGAAAGCUUUCACAGGUAGGUCCCACUGGAGGUGUGCUGAAGACAGAGAUGCAGAUCCCUUUCCUGAGAGAAAAGAAUUUGUAGAGGCCACUGCUGAGGCUCUGAAAGGAGCUGAGCUUCUGCAGGGAGAGAUGUCCCCACCUGGGCACAGGGGCUGCCUCAGCACAGGCUGGGAGCACAUCUGGCCACUGCCUUCUCCUGCUUUAAAACACCAACUGCAUCUUCUCCAUCCUGGAGCUCAGGGGGGUGAAAUCAGCUCCAUUCCAGGCAGCUCUGUCCAGUGACCCAGGUGUUGUGGUUUGUUCUAUGUUUGUUCAGUUCUCCCCCCGUUGUCGUUUAAAUGGUUCUGCCCGAAGUAUCUAGCAAGUGUCAAUCCCUGUACCCCUCCCACGUUGUCCUGGUUACCCCAAUGUAUCUCGUUUGUUCCCCUCCCCUGGCCGCCUGCCUGUCAUCCAGCACCCCUGCCUCUUUUUCCAGAAGCUUCUGGCUGGGGUGUUGGGUGAUUGGAUCAGGGGCCAGGGCCCCACCCGCAACUGUCUCCCAUUAGUUGUUUGCUGUUGUCAAUCUUCCAUGUAUCUUUUGUACCCCUCUCCUGAUUUGUUGUUCCCAACCCCGCCUAUUCCCUAUAAAACCUGAGGCUUUUCCCUGCCUCGGUGCUCAGACUUCUGCUCCCUGACCCAUCGCCACCCCUUCCAAUAAAACCUCCUACCCCCAGAA
Agelaius phoeniceus (red-winged blackbird) is the source of this 1594-nucleotide long non-coding RNA. RefSeq lists it as uncharacterized. Lineage: Eukaryota; Metazoa; Chordata; Aves; Passeriformes; Icteridae. The record is from RefSeq and is a predicted model, not a curated record.